CACACCUACCUGUAACUCUUCAUAGGUGUGUAACUACACUGGUAGAUGAAUGUGACUCUCAGUUUUAGAACAUGACUAUUAUUGGACACAGUCUGCUCAGCUUUUUGGUAUUUGUGCUCUGGAUAAAAGGUCUGACUGAUGGAAGUGAUGUUGAACAGACACCCAUACUGUGGGAAAGGGAAGGUCAAAGUGCAACAAUGCAGUGUAAUCAUACAAAGGGUGCUAAUUAUCGUUAUAUGUACUGGUUCAGGCAGCUGCCUGGAGAAACCAUGACACUAAUUGUGUUUGCAACAACUGGGAAAAAAGAUGAUGAGCACGACUAUGGAACUUUCAAAAAAGAUAGAUUUUCUGCCAAUAAGCCUGUUGUUGAGAAUGGGACGUUCACAGUAAAGGACCUGAAGCCAGAAGACAAAGGAUGGUAUUUCUGUGCUGUGAGCCAACACAGUGAUACAGACACAGCAGAGAGCUGAACAAAAACCUCAGCGCAGUGUUCACUACUGUUAC
Oreochromis niloticus (Nile tilapia) is the source of this 504-nucleotide non-coding RNA. Lineage: Eukaryota; Metazoa; Chordata; Actinopteri; Cichliformes; Cichlidae. The record is from the annotation of a RefSeq genome assembly.